AUGCAAGUCAGACGGAAUGUAGUAAUACAUUCAGUGGCGAACGGGUGAGUAACGCGUGGAUAAUCUACCUACGAGAUGGGGAUAACUAUUAGAAAUAGUAGCUAAUACCGAAUAAAGUCAAUUAAGAUGUUAGUUGAUGAAAGGAAGCCUUUAAAGCUUCGCUUGUAGAUGAGUCUGCGUCUUAUUAGCUAGUUGGUGGGGUAAGAGCCCACCAAGGCUAUGAUAAGUAACCGGCCUGAGAGGGUGAUCGGUCACACUGGAACUGAGAUACGGUCCAGACUCCUACGGGAGGCAGCAGCUAAGAAUCUUCCGCAAUGGGCGAAAGCCUGACGGAGCGACACUGCGUGAACGAAGAAGGUCGAAAGAUUGUAAAGUUCUUUUAUAAGUGAGGAAUAAGCUUUGUAGGAAAUGACAAAGCGAUGACGUUAAUUUAUGAAUAAGCCCCGGCUAAUUACGUGCCAGCAGCCGCGGUAAUACGUAAGGGGCGAGCGUUGUUCGGGAUCAUUGGGCGUAAAGGGUGAGUAGGCGGAUAUGCAAGUCUAUGUGUAAAAUACCACAGCUCAACUGUGGAACUAUGCUGGAAACUGCAUGACUAGAGUCUGAUAGGGGAAGUUAGAAUUCCUGGUGUAAGGGUGGAAUCUGUUGAUAUCAGGAAGAAUACCAGAGGCGAAGGCGAACUUCUAGGUCGAGACUGACGCUGAGUCACGAAAGCGUAGGGAGCAAACAGGAUUAGAUACCCUGGUAGUCUACGCUGUAAACGAUGCACACUUGGUGUUAAUCGAAAGGUUAGUACCGAAGCUAACGUGUUAAGUGUGCCGCCUGGGGAGUAUGUUCGCAAGAAUGAAACUCAAAGGAAUUGACGGGGGCCCGCACAAGCGGUGGAGCAUGUGGUUUAAUUCGAUGAUACGCGAGGAACCUUACCAGGGCUUGACAUAUACAGGAUAUAGUUAGAGAUAACUAUUCCCCGUUUGGGGUCUGUAUACAGGUGCUGCAUGGUUGUCGUCAGCUCGUGCCGUGAGGUGUUGGGUUAAGUCCCGCAACGAGCGCAACCCUUGUUGUCUGUUACCAGCAUGUAAAGAUGGGGACUCAGACGAGACUGCCGGUGAUAAGCCGGAGGAAGGUGAGGAUGACGUCAAAUCAUCAUGGCCCUUAUGUCCUGGGCUACACACGUGCUACAAUGGCCUGUACAAAGCGAUGCGAAACAGUGAUGUGAAGCAAAACGCAGAAAGCAGGUCUCAGUCCAGAUUGAAGUCUGAAACUCGGCUUCAUGAAGUUGGAAUCGCUAGUAAUCGUAUAUCAGAAUGAUACGGUGAAUACGUUCUCGGGCCUUGUACACACCGCCCGUCACACCACCC
This 1355-nucleotide ribosomal RNA is filed under the name Borrelia miyamotoi. RNAcentral describes it as "bacterial SSU rRNA". It matches the Rfam family "Bacterial small subunit ribosomal RNA", at positions 55 to 1407 of the family's 1533-position model. The record is from RNAcentral. Lineage: Bacteria; Pseudomonadati; Spirochaetota; Spirochaetia; Spirochaetales; Borreliaceae.